AUACGUAGGGGGCAAGCGUUAUCCGGAUUUACUGGGUGUAAAGGGAGCGUAGACGGCACAGCAGGUCUGAUGUGAAAACCCGCGGCUCAACUGCGGGAUUGCAUUGGAAACUGUUGAGCUUGAGUACUGGAGGGGCAGGCGGAAUUCCUGGUGUAGCGGUGGAAUGCGUAGAUAUCAGGAGGAACACCGGUGGCGAAGGCGGCCUGCUGGACAUUAACUGACGUUGAGGCUCGAAAGCGUGGGGAGCAAACAGGAUGAGAUCCCCUGGUAGUCCACGCCGUAAACGAUGAAUACUAGGUGCUGGGAGGCAAGGCCUCUCAGUGCCGCAGCCAACGCAAUAAGUAUUCCACCUGGGGAGUACGUUCGCAAGAAUGAAACUCAAAGGAAUUGACGGGG
RNAcentral lists this ribosomal RNA (396 nucleotides) under uncultured bacterium. Its description in RNAcentral is "partial 16S ribosomal RNA". It matches the Rfam family "Bacterial small subunit ribosomal RNA", at positions 523 to 918 of the family's 1533-position model. The record is from RNAcentral.